Molecule: non-coding RNA, 48 nt
Filed under: Trypanosoma lewisi
Lineage: Eukaryota; Euglenozoa; Kinetoplastea; Trypanosomatida; Trypanosomatidae
Source: RNAcentral
AUAUAAGAACAUAAUAUAAUGAUGGUAAUAGAACGUGUUAGAGUUAUA